This 433-nucleotide ribosomal RNA is filed under the name uncultured bacterium. RNAcentral describes it as "partial 16S ribosomal RNA". It matches the Rfam family "Bacterial small subunit ribosomal RNA", at positions 29 to 507 of the family's 1533-position model. The record is from RNAcentral.
AACGAACGCUGGCGGCAUGCCUAACACAUGCAAGUCGAACGAGACCUUCGGGUCUAGUGGCGCACGGGUGCGUAACGCGUGGGAAUCUGCCCUUGGGUUCGGAAUAACUCGCCGAAAGGCGUGCUAAUACCGGAUGAUGACGUAAGUCCAAAGAUUUAUCGCCCAAGGAUGAGCCCGCGUUGGAUUAGCUAGUUGGUGAGGUAAAGGCUCACCAAGGCGACGAUCCAUAGCUGGUCUGAGAGGAUGAUCAGCCACACUGGGACUGAGGCACGGCCCAGACUCCUACGGGAGGCAGCAGUGGAGAAUAUUGGACAAGGGGCGAAAGCCUGAUCCAGCAAUGCCGCGUGAGUGAGGAAGGCCUUAGGGUUGUAAAGCUCUUUUACCCGGGAUGAUAAUGACCGUACCGGGAGAAUAAGCUCCGGCUAACUCCGUG